AUUUUGGAUCUUUGUGGAGUUUGUUUAAAUUGGUUUCUUAUGUGAAAACAGAGAUGCAAACAUAUUGUUCAUCACUUAUUGGAGACAAAAAUGGGACGAUGGCAAAUUUUACAAAGGUGGCGCAKGUGUUCCUUCAUCUUUAUCUAGCUUUUACAAACUGUUUCAUUCAUCUUUUUCUAGCUUUCCAUCUUGGUAGCAUUUCUUMUUUUUCCAUGUAGUGGAUAGAUCUUUAUUUUCAUCUGGUGUUUAAUCACUCAUAAAUUUUUGAAAAAGGUUUAGGCUUKAAUCGUAUACAUGAUGGUUCRAGUAUUGAGGUUUAAGUUUUGUUUUUUAUACUUUGAUUAAGAUGCACGAUCARURAUUUUAGUAAUUGUUUUUGGAGUUUCAAAUCGAAUAUGUUUGGAUGAUGCUUAUUCUUUGAAGCUUAAAUACAAGAUCCAUUUUUCUCAUGAAGCUUAAAUACGCUGUUGUGAAGCUUAAAUACAAGAUGCUUAAGGCAACUUUCUAGGCAUCUUUAUAUACUUCAAAUACUCAUACACACUACUUAUUCACUUCGUUUCCAUCUUGCUAUCCUCUUUCCAAUGAUCUUGGUCUUUAUAUGCUUGAUUGUCAAUUAUGUCRCAUUAUGUAUGCCUUUUCURGAAAUUGCAUUAUUAUGUAGAUAUUCAAUGAGAUCACUCYGUUCAUGGACAACUGAUAUAUCCCAUGAUUUAAGAUACUUCCAGAUUCAGGAACCAACUGGAUUGACUAUUCUCUGCACCUUCAAGUAUGGAAGUGCUGGAAUGGGCCUAGAAGAACAUCAAUAAUGUGUUGUUUUAGUUUCCGCUACCCUUCCAAACGAAAUAUUGGAGAUUACCAGCAAAUUCAUGACUGAUCCUGUUUGAAUCCUUGUAAAAGGUGAUGAAUUGACUCUUGAGGUUGAUGCAUUUUAUGUGACAGUCUAUGGGGGCUACCACACUUGAUGAAUACCUAAAGCAUAUYAAGAAGGAUCUAGCAUUGGAUAGAUGAUUUCAACCCAUUAAGGACUCUUAAGGUGUCUGAGCCCUCUGUUGAUGAAACAAUACUGAUUUUGGAGGAUCUUUGAGAGCGAUAUAAAAUUCACCACAAGCUUCAGUAUACUGAUGAUGCUUUAGUUGCUGCAGCAAAGCUGUCCCCGCAAUAUAGUCAUUUUUGUCAAAAUGACAACUAAAUGGAUCAUGAUUAAUUUCAUUAGGCCCUAAUGGGUAAUGAUAGAACCAUUUCUCAA
This is a long non-coding RNA of Cynara cardunculus var. scolymus (artichoke), 1246 nucleotides long. RefSeq lists it as uncharacterized. The transcript is spliced from 5 exons. Lineage: Eukaryota; Viridiplantae; Streptophyta; Magnoliopsida; Asterales; Asteraceae. The record is from RefSeq and is a predicted model, not a curated record.